Molecule: ribosomal RNA, 492 nt
Filed under: uncultured bacterium
Lineage: Bacteria
Description: partial 16S ribosomal RNA
Rfam family: Bacterial small subunit ribosomal RNA
Source: RNAcentral
AGUGAACGCUGGCGGUAGGCCUAACACAUGCAAGUCGAACGGCAGCACAGUAAGAGCUUGCUCUUACGGGUGGCGAGUGGCGGACGGGUGAGGAAUACAUCGGAAUCUACUUUUUCGUGGGGGAUAACGUAGGGAAACUUACGCUAAUACCGCAUACGACCUACGGGUGAAAGCAGGGGAUCUUCGGACCUUGCGCGAUUGAAUGAGCCGAUGUCGGAUUAGCUAGUUGGCGGGGUAAAGGCCCACCAAGGCGACGAUCCGUAGCUGGUCUGAGAGGAUGAUCGGCCGCACGAGAACUGAGACACGGUCCAGACUCCUACGGGAGGCAGCAGUGGGGAAUGUUGGACAAAGGGCGCAAGCCUGAUCCAGCCAUACCGCGUGGGUGAAGAAGGCCUUCGGGUUGUAAAGACCUUUUGUUGGGAAAGAAAAGCAGCAGGUUAAUACCCCGCUGUUCUGACGGUGCCCAAAGAAUAAGCACCGGCUAACUUCGUG